UGGGUAACCUGCCUCAAAGAGGGGAAUAGCCUCCCGAAAGGGAGAUUAAUACCGCAUAAUAUGUUUAGGUCGCAUGACUUUAACAUCAAAGGAUUUUCUUUUAGAAAUUCCACUUUGAGAUGGACCCGCGGCGCAUUAGCUAGUUGGUGAGGUAACGGCUCACCAAGGCAACGAUGCGUAGCCGACCUGAGAGGGUGAUCGGCCACAUUGGAACUGAGAUACGGUCCAGACUCCGUAGG
This 239-nucleotide ribosomal RNA is filed under the name uncultured bacterium. RNAcentral describes it as "partial 16S ribosomal RNA". It matches the Rfam family "Bacterial small subunit ribosomal RNA", at positions 118 to 344 of the family's 1533-position model. The record is from RNAcentral.